UAUAAGCAAUUAUACAGCGAAAACUGCGAAUGGCUCAUUAUAUAAGUUAUCGUUUAUUUGAUAGUACCUUACUACUUGGAUAACCGUGGUAAUUCUAGAGCUAAUACAUGCUAAAAACCCCGACUUCGGAAGGGGUGUAUUUAUUAGAUUAAAAACCAAUGCCCUUCGGGGCUCACUGGUGAUUCAUAAUAACUUCUCGAAUCGCAUGGCCUUGCGCCGGCGAUGGUUCAUUCAAAUUUCUUCCCUAUCAACUUUCGAUGCUAGAGUAGUGUUCUAGCAUGGUUACAACGGGUAACGGAGGGUUAGGGCUCGACCCCGGAGAA
Molecule: ribosomal RNA, 323 nt
Filed under: Colletotrichum graminicola
Lineage: Eukaryota; Fungi; Ascomycota; Sordariomycetes; Glomerellales; Glomerellaceae
Description: SSU rRNA
Rfam family: Eukaryotic small subunit ribosomal RNA
Source: RNAcentral